UACGUAGGGAGCGAGCGUUGUCCGGAUUUAUUGGGCGUAAAGCGCGCGUAGGCGGUUUGAUAAGUCGGGUGUGAAAACUCCAAGCUCAACUUGGAGCCUGCAUUCGAAACUGUCAUGACUAGAGUCAGGUAGGGGAACACGGAAUUCCAGGUGUAGCGGUGAAAUGCUUAGAUAUCUGGAGGAACACCAGUGGCGAAGGCGGUGUUCUGGGCCUGUACUGACGCUGAUGCGCGAAAGCGUGGGGAGCGAACAGG
This 254-nucleotide ribosomal RNA is filed under the name uncultured bacterium. RNAcentral describes it as "partial 16S ribosomal RNA". It matches the Rfam family "Bacterial small subunit ribosomal RNA", at positions 524 to 776 of the family's 1533-position model. The record is from RNAcentral.